RNAcentral lists this transfer RNA (71 nucleotides) under Bos taurus (domestic cattle). It matches the Rfam family "tRNA". From Rfam's summary of the family: Transfer RNA (tRNA) molecules are approximately 80 nucleotides in length. RNAcentral also lists the same sequence under 2 other names. The record is from Rfam by way of RNAcentral. Lineage: Eukaryota; Metazoa; Chordata; Mammalia; Artiodactyla; Bovidae.
UCUCUGGUGGCUCAGGUGGUAGAGAAUCUGCCUGAAAUGCAGGAGACCAGGGUUCAAACCUUGUUGGGAAG